Exaiptasia diaphana is the source of this 454-nucleotide long non-coding RNA. RefSeq lists it as uncharacterized. The record is from RefSeq and is a predicted model, not a curated record. The transcript is spliced from 4 exons. Lineage: Eukaryota; Metazoa; Cnidaria; Anthozoa; Actiniaria; Aiptasiidae.
CCAAGAUGGCGGACGAAAGUGGGGGAAAAAGUGAAGAAACUAACUUACCAGGAAUAGGCGAACUACAAGCAUUCUCUCAGCAAGCUUUAAGAGURCUUGURGGGGCUACUCAAAAAGCCAACUCUUUACCCAGUGCKGGUGAAGACCAUGACUUCUACUACAGCUUCUCUGACUUYAGAGAGUUUAGAAAUGCCCAGGGAACUAGAUUGCUAAACAAUGCCCAUGACUURUUACGUCAUUUCCAUGUUCAAUGUGGUUGGCCAAAAAGAGGCCAGUCUUGUGAUAGUGUUGAUGUAGAUGACUUGUUUGAAAAUUUAGUUGAAGCAAAUGAUAUCCUUCUUGAAGAAGUGGAUACCAGACUAGAUGAAGCUUCUGGUUUAUCCAAGAACAAAAAUCCAGUUUUAAACAAGUCAAUCCAGUCUAACAAACCUGUUGUAUCCAGUUGGAACAGGAG